GAGGGUAUAGCUCUGUAAUAGAGUGCAUGCUUAGCAUGCAUGAUGUCCUGGGUUCAAUCCCCAGUACCUCCA
This 72-nucleotide transfer RNA is filed under the name Camelus bactrianus (Bactrian camel). It matches the Rfam family "tRNA". Rfam says of the family: Transfer RNA (tRNA) molecules are approximately 80 nucleotides in length. Their secondary structure includes four short double-helical elements and three loops (D, anti-codon, and T loops). The record is from Rfam by way of RNAcentral. Lineage: Eukaryota; Metazoa; Chordata; Mammalia; Artiodactyla; Camelidae. RNAcentral also lists the same sequence under 2 other names.